This 245-nucleotide ribosomal RNA is filed under the name Musa schizocarpa. RNAcentral describes it as "5.8S ribosomal RNA". The stretch from base 6 to 161 matches the Rfam family "5.8S ribosomal RNA". From Rfam's summary of the family: 5.8S ribosomal RNA (5.8S rRNA) is a component of the large subunit of the eukaryotic ribosome. It is transcribed by RNA polymerase I as part of the 45S precursor that also contains 18S and 28S rRNA. Functionally, it is thought that 5.8S rRNA may be involved in ribosome translocation. The record is from RNAcentral. Lineage: Eukaryota; Viridiplantae; Streptophyta; Magnoliopsida; Zingiberales; Musaceae.
UGGACGACUCUCGGCAACGGAUAUCUCGGCUCUCGCAUCGAUGAAGAACGUAGCGAAAUGCGAUACCUGGUGUGAAUUGCAGAAUCCCGUGAACCAUCGAGUCUUUGAACGCAAGUUGCGCCCGAGGCCAUCCGGCUAAGGGCACGCCUGCCUGGGCGUCACGCUUUCGACGCUUUGUCGUUGCUCCCUCGGGGGGCGGGGGCGAACGCGGAGGAUGGCCCCCUGUGCCGGAAGGUGCGGUUGGU